CGGCAGGCCUAACACAUGCAAGUCGAGGGGCAGCGGGGAUAAGCUUGCUUAUCCGCCGGCGACCGGCGCACGGGUGCGCAACGCGUAUAGAAUCUGCCCUGUACUGGGGAAUAGCCCAGAGAAAUUUGGAUUAAUGCCCCAUGGUAUGUAUUAGCGGCAUCGCUUGUACAUUAAAGGCUACGGUACAGGAUGACUAUGCGUCCCAUUAGUUAGUUGGUAAGGUAACGGCUUACCAAGGCAGCGAUGGGUAGGGGCCCUGAGAGGGGGAUCCCCCACACUGGUACUGAGACACGGACCAGACUCCUACGGGAGGCAGCAGUGAGGAAUAUUGGACAAUGGGCGGGAGCCUGAUCCAGCCAUGCCGCGUGCAGGAAGACGGUCCUAUGGAUUGUAAACUGCUUUUGUACGGGAAGAACAAGGGGCACGUGUGCCCCUCUGACGGUACCGUAAGAAUAAGGAUCGGCUAACUCCGUGCCAGCAGCCGCGGUAAUACGGAGGAUCCGAGCGUUAUCCGGAAUCAUUGGGUUUAAAGGGUCCGUAGGCGGGCCAUUAAGUCAGGGGUGAAAGUCUGCGGCUCAACCGUAGAAUUGCCCUUGAUACUGGUGGUCUUGAGUUAUGGUGAAGUAACUAGAAUAUGUAGUGUAGCGGUGAAAUGCAUAGAUAUUACAUAGAAUACCGAUUGCGAAGGCAGGUUACUAACCAUAUACUGACGCUGAUGGACGAAAGCGUGGGGAGCGAACAGGAUUAGAUACCCUGGUAGUCCACGCCGUAAACGAUGGAUACUAGCUGUCCGGAUGCAAAUCUGGGCGGCCAAGCGAAAGUGAUAAGUAUCCCACCUGGGGAGUACGUCCGCAAGGAUGAAACUCAAAGGAAUUGACGGGGGCCCGCACAAGCGGUGGAGCAUGUGGUUUAAUUCGAUGAUACGCGAGGAACCUUACCAGGGCUUAAAUGUGGUCUGACAGCUUUAGAGAUAGAGCCUCCUUCGGGCAGAUCACAAGGUGCUGCAUGGUUGUCGUCAGCUCGUGCCGUGAGGUGUCAGGUUAAGUCCUAUAACGAGCGCAC
Molecule: ribosomal RNA, 1062 nt
Filed under: Arenibacter algicola
Lineage: Bacteria; Pseudomonadati; Bacteroidota; Flavobacteriia; Flavobacteriales; Flavobacteriaceae
Description: 16S ribosomal RNA
Rfam family: Bacterial small subunit ribosomal RNA
Source: RNAcentral